Molecule: ribosomal RNA, 404 nt
Filed under: Verrucomicrobiota bacterium
Lineage: Bacteria; Pseudomonadati; Verrucomicrobiota
Description: Verrucomicrobia bacterium partial 16S ribosomal RNA
Rfam family: Bacterial small subunit ribosomal RNA
Source: RNAcentral
UGGGGAAUAUUGCACAAUGGGGGAAACCCUGAUGCAGCGACGCCGCGUGAGCGAUGAAGGCUUUCGAGUCGUAAAGCUCUGUCCUAUGGGAAGAUAAUGACGGUACCAUAGAAGAAAGCCCCGGCUAAUUACGUGCCAGCAGCCGCGGUAAUACGUAAGGGGCGAGCGUUGUCCGGAAUUAUUGGGCGUAAAGAGCUCGUAGGCGGUUUGUCGCGUCUGCUGUGAAAGACCGGGGCUUAACUCCGGGGCUGCAGUGGGUACGGGCAGGCUGGAGUGCGGUAGGGGUAACCGGAAUUCCUGGUGUAGCGGUGGAAUGCGCAGAUAUCAGGAGGAACACCGAUGGCGAAGGCAGGUUACUGGGCCGUUACUGACGCUGAGGAGCGAAAGCAUGGGGAGCGAACAGG